Molecule: ribosomal RNA, 1023 nt
Filed under: Cytobacillus firmus
Lineage: Bacteria; Bacillati; Bacillota; Bacilli; Caryophanales; Bacillaceae
Description: bacterial SSU rRNA
Rfam family: Bacterial small subunit ribosomal RNA
Source: RNAcentral
UGCAGUCGAGCGAAUCAUCAAAAGCUUGCUUUUGAUGAUUAGCGGCGGACGGGUGAGUAACACGUGGGCAACCUGCCUGUAAGACUGGGAUAACUUCGGGAAACCGGAGCUAAUACCGGAUAAUGCUUUUCCUCACAUGAGGGAAAGCUGAAAGAUGGCUUCGGCUAUCACUUACAGAUGGGCCCGCGGCGCAUUAGCUAGUUGGUGAGGUAACGGCUCACCAAGGCGACGAUGCGUAGCCGACCUGAGAGGGUGAUCGGCCACACUGGGACUGAGACACGGCCCAGACUCCUACGGGAGGCAGCAGUAGGGAAUCUUCCGCAAUGGACGAAAGUCUGACGGAGCAACGCCGCGUGAGUGAUGAAGGUUUUCGGAUCGUAAAACUCUGUUGUUAGGGAAGAACAAGUACCGUUCGAAUAGGGCGGCACCUUGACGGUACCUAACCAGAAAGCCACGGCUAACUACGUGCCAGCAGCCGCGGUAAUACGUAGGUGGCAAGCGUUGUCCGGAAUUAUUGGGCGUAAAGCGCGCGCAGGCGGUUCCUUAAGUCUGAUGUGAAAGCCCACGGCUCAACCGUGGAGGGUCAUUGGAAACUGGGGAACUUGAGUGCAGAAGAGAAGAGCGGAAUUCCACGUGUAGCGGUGAAAUGCGUAGAGAUGUGGAGGAACACCAGUGGCGAAGGCGGCUCUUUGGUCUGUAACUGACGCUGAGGCGCGAAAGCGUGGGGAGCAAACAGGAUUAGAUACCCUGGUAGUCCACGCCGUAAACGAUGAGUGCUAAGUGUUAGAGGGUUUCCGCCCUUUAGUGCUGCAGCAAACGCAUUAAGCACUCCGCCUGGGGGAGUACGGCCGCAAGGCUGAAACUCAAAGGAAUUGACGGGGGCCCGCACAAGCGGUGGAAGCAUGUGGUUUAAUUCGAAGCAACGCGAAGAACCUUACCAGGUCUUGACAUCUCCUGCCACCCUAGAAGAUAGGGCGUUCCCCUUCGGGGGACAGGAUGACAGGUGGGUGCAUGGUUGUCGUC